This 393-nucleotide long non-coding RNA is filed under the name Citrus maxima (pomelo). Its description in RNAcentral is "long non-coding RNA (CMAX_LNC001318)". The record is from RNAcentral. Lineage: Eukaryota; Viridiplantae; Streptophyta; Magnoliopsida; Sapindales; Rutaceae.
UUGAUACCCUUGUGCUUCUAAAAUAAUCAACCAAUUAUAAAAAUUAGCUUAGGUGCAACUUUACCCCUUUUUUUGGGAAACUUAACUAUAAAUAAAGUAUACAAAUCUCUAAAUUAACUUCGUCCCCAUGAAAUUCGGCAUAAAUAGAAAUAGAAUUAUAGAAACCUUACUACCUUUUAUGAGAAAUCCAACUUAUAUAUUUGAGACCUCUCUCUCUAAGCACGCGCUUCCUCUCUCUGCACACUUUCCACCUUUAAAUUCUCCUUCACUAAGUUUACCUAAAAGAAUUUAGCGUUCUCCCAGUUUCUUUCGCAUUUUUCUCCGUGAAAAUUGGUGAAAAAGAGAAAGUGAUUUGAUUAUUUUAAUGUGCGACAGAUAUGGUUUCCAUCUCUG